CAGUCGCCGCGGUAAUACGGAGGGUGCAAGCGUUAUCCGGAUUUAUUGGGUUUAAAGGGUCCGUAGGCGGACUUAUAAGUCAGUGGUGAAAGCCUGUCGCUUAACGAUAGAACUGCCAUUGAUACUGUAAGUCUUGAGUAUAUUUGAGGUAGCUGGAAUAAGUAGUGUAGCGGUGAAAUGCAUAGAUAUUACUUAGAACACCAAUUGCGAAGGCAGGUUACCAAGAUAUAACUGACGCUGAGGGACGAAAGCGUGGGUAGCGAACAGGAUUAGAUCCCCUGUAGUCCCUGUCUCUUAUACA
RNAcentral lists this ribosomal RNA (301 nucleotides) under uncultured bacterium. RNAcentral's name for it is "partial 16S ribosomal RNA". It matches the Rfam family "Bacterial small subunit ribosomal RNA", at positions 509 to 808 of the family's 1533-position model. The record is from RNAcentral.